This is a non-coding RNA of Flavobacteriaceae bacterium TMED42, 109 nucleotides long. NCBI's taxonomy places the organism in Bacteria, Pseudomonadati, Bacteroidota, Flavobacteriia, Flavobacteriales, Flavobacteriaceae. The record is from Rfam.
ACUCAACGAGCUUUAAUUUAGAAGAGGUGAGUUAUGAUUGUAAAAGCAAGCUGCCUUGAGCAGAUCCUUGAUCAGUUGUGUAGCCUCAAACCUGUUUAUUUAGGAGUUU